CUCUGAACCCCAUCGUGCUGAAAUGAGGGGUUCUGAAGAAAACCAAGAGAUUCGGAAAAUGGCUCCAGAUCAACUCAAGUCGGACACCCCUACUUCUACCCAUGCUUCAGAGUGCUGGACAAGAUGUUGAAAAGAAAGCAGACCUUUAUAGAACCUUUCAGUUCUUACCAUAUAGAUAACCAGAUUCUCCAGCUACUGAGAGAAGAGUGGGAGAAGAGACCAUUCCCAACACUUCCAAUAACCCAGUGCUAUGGACUGAAUUGUGCCCCC
Molecule: long non-coding RNA, 270 nt
Filed under: Sus scrofa (pig)
Lineage: Eukaryota; Metazoa; Chordata; Mammalia; Artiodactyla; Suidae
Description: lncRNA (ENSSSCG00070023848.1)
Source: RNAcentral